This 364-nucleotide ribosomal RNA is filed under the name Polaruschakov sp. 655-3-3 PB. Its description in RNAcentral is "partial 16S ribosomal RNA". It matches the Rfam family "Bacterial large subunit ribosomal RNA", at positions 1959 to 2560 of the family's 2925-position model. The record is from RNAcentral. Lineage: Eukaryota; Metazoa; Annelida; Polychaeta; Phyllodocida; Polynoidae.
GCAUAAUCACUUGCCCUUUAAUUCAGGGCUCGUAUGAAAGGACGAACGAGACUCCACCUUUAUUAAUUUUACUAAGCAUAACCUGGCGUUCAGGUGAAAAUUCCUGAAUACCCAUGAAAGACAAGAAGACCCUAUAGAGUUUUAAUACUCUUUUCACCCCUAACCUCAUUAUUUUAAUUGGGGCGAUUAAGGAUUUCAAUAUACAUCCUAAACUAAACCCAAGAAUCUCCUUUUGAAACAAUCCUUCUCCUGGAAUUUAAACUAAACUACCUUAGGGAUAACAGGCUUAUCUUCCUAACGAGUCCAAAUUGACAGGAAGGUUUGGCACCUCGAUGUUGGCUUAGAGAAACCUAAUAAAGCAAAA